AAAAAAACAAACACAAAAAGGUAUUAUAUCGUAAACAAACAACUUAUAGCGUUUGGGAGUAUAGCGUUCUUUAUAUUUACAUAGUAUCAAAGUAUAGAUAUCAGGGGCCAUAUAAUAUGUGGUUCAUUAAUCAAGGUCAUAAUUACCUUCUUUUAAAAGAGCGAAAAAUUAAAGAUUAAAAAAAAAAAGCCUUUAAGCUCCCUAAAAAAGUCGUUAACAUUAAGAAACUCGUAUGAUGUUUGGGAAACUUUGUAAAAGAUAAAACCUUUUUAAGAAUAAUCGGAAAAUUUAGUGCCUCUAUUCUGGCAU
This is a non-coding RNA of Schizosaccharomyces pombe (fission yeast), 309 nucleotides long. The record is from the annotation of a GenBank genome assembly. NCBI's taxonomy places the organism in Eukaryota, Fungi, Ascomycota, Schizosaccharomycetes, Schizosaccharomycetales, Schizosaccharomycetaceae.